AGAGUUUGAUCCUGGCUCAGAUUGAACGCUGGCGGCAGGCUUACACAUGCAAGUCGAGCGGUAGCACAGAGAGCUUGCUCUUGGGUGACAAGCGGCGGACGGGUGAGUAACGCGUAGGAAUCUACCUAGUAGUGGGGGACAACAGUUGGAAACGACUGCUAAUACCGCAUACGCCCUAAGGGGGAAAGCAGGGGAUCUUCGGACCUUGUGCUAUUAGAUGAGCCUGCGUGAGAUUAGCUAGUUGGUGAGGUAAAGGCUCACCAAGGCAACGAUCUCUAGCUGGUCUGAGAGGAUGAUCAGCCACACUGGGACUGAGACACGGCCCAGACUCCUACGGGAGGCAGCAGUGGGGAAUAUUGGACAAUGGGCGAAAGCCUGAUCCAGCCAUGCCGCGUGUGUGAAGAAGGUCUUCGGAUUGUAAAGCACUUUAAGUUGGGAGGAAGGGCAUUAACCUAAUACGUUAGUGUUUUGACGUUACCGACAGAAUAAGCACCGGCUAACUCCGUGCCAGCAGCCGCGGUAAUA
This 525-nucleotide ribosomal RNA is filed under the name uncultured bacterium. RNAcentral describes it as "bacterial SSU rRNA". It matches the Rfam family "Bacterial small subunit ribosomal RNA", at positions 8 to 525 of the family's 1533-position model. The record is from RNAcentral.